AUAUUGCACAAUGGGGGGAACCCUGAUGCAGCGACGCCGCGUGGGUGAAGGAGCGUUUCGGCGCGUAAAGCCCUAUCGGCAGGGAAGAAGGAGGACGGUACCUGACUAAGAAGCCCCGGCUAACUACGUGCCAGCAGCCGCGGUAAUACGUAGGGGGCAAGCGUUAUCCGGGUUUACUGGGUGUAAAGGGGGCGCAGACGGCAGCGCAAGCCAGGAGUGAAAGCCCGGGGCCCAACCCCGGGACUGCUCUUGGAACUGCGCGGCUGGAGUGCAGGAGGGGCAGGCGGAAUUCCUGGUGUAGCGGUGAAAUGCGUAGAUAUCAGGAGGAACACCGGUGGCGAAGGCGGCCUGCUGGACUGCGACUGACGUUGAGGCCCGAAAGCGUGGGGAGCAACCAGG
Molecule: ribosomal RNA, 399 nt
Filed under: uncultured bacterium
Lineage: Bacteria
Description: bacterial SSU rRNA
Rfam family: Bacterial small subunit ribosomal RNA
Source: RNAcentral